Molecule: ribosomal RNA, 450 nt
Filed under: uncultured bacterium
Lineage: Bacteria
Description: partial 16S ribosomal RNA
Rfam family: Bacterial small subunit ribosomal RNA
Source: RNAcentral
GUGGGGAAUAUUGGACAAUGGGCGAAAGCCUGAUCCAGCCAUGCCGCGUGUGUGAAGAAGGUCUUCGGAUUGUAAAGCACUUUAAGUUGGGAGGAAGGGCAGUAAGUUAAUACCUUGCUGUUUUGACGUUACCGACAGAAUAAGCACCGGCUAACUUCGUGCCAGCAGCCGCGGUAAUACGAAGGGUGCAAGCGUUAAUCGGAAUUACUGGGCGUAAAGCGCGCGUAGGUGGUUUUGUAAGGUGGAGGUGAAAUCCCCGGGCUCAACCUGGGAACUGCCUCCAAAACUGCAUGACUAGAGUACGGUAGAGGGUAGUGGAAUUUCCUGUGUAGCGGUGAAAUGCGUAGAUAUAGGAAGGAACACCAGUGGCGAAGGCGACUACCUGGACUGAUACUGACACUGAGGUGCGAAAGCGUGGGGAGCAAACAGGAUUAGAUACCCUAGUAGUCC